Long non-coding RNA from Ipomoea nil (Japanese morning glory), 736 nucleotides. RefSeq lists it as uncharacterized. NCBI's taxonomy places the organism in Eukaryota, Viridiplantae, Streptophyta, Magnoliopsida, Solanales, Convolvulaceae. The record is from RefSeq and is a predicted model, not a curated record. The transcript is spliced from 2 exons.
AAUCUCUGUACAGCUCAGUUGAUCGAUCUGAUCUGACUUGAACAAUUAAUUGGUAAGGUGUGUUGGUUGAGAUAGCUGGGAAAAGAAGCUUCCGGCGGCCAUUAUUUAUUUAAAAGCUCCUCGAACCAUUUUUGCUCAAAACUAACUUUAAUUUACUGCCAAAGUUAACGCCGGGCAGCAUGAGUUAUCAGCAAGUUCCAUAUGAAGCACCUGGCUAUGAAGAAGCGCCGCCGACUCUCGUCCACCACCACCACCAACACCAAUAUCCACAACCAGAAGAAUGGCCUUCGCCGGCGGGGUAUUUUGAACCUUCGCCACCACCGCCUCCUCUUGUAGAGGCCCCGGAGGACGAACACCACGGUUUCUGUUCGUGUUUGCAACGCUGUUUGAGUUUUCUUCUUUGCUGCUGGUGCUGCUAGCUAGGCAACUCCGCCGCAUAUAUAUAUAUAUAUAUAUAUAUAUAUAUAUAUAUAUGCAUCAACCAAUUCAAUAUUGUGAUUGUAUUUGACUAUUUGUCGUGUGUGGAUUUUAAUUCGGAAAACCUCGUGUGGCAUCGCAUCAAUCUUCCUAAUAAUUUAAUUAUUGUAUCAUCACUUUGCUUAGCUUGCAUUGUAAUGCUGCUAAAGUUAUAUAUAUUGUACUGUGUUAAAUUCUUCUAAUUAUUUUUACUUUUCAAAAUUUUGAAUUGAAUUAAACUUGUAAUUUCAGGAUAUGAGAGUCAUGUAUGUUCUAGCUA